Molecule: non-coding RNA, 209 nt
Organism: Pelodiscus sinensis (Chinese soft-shelled turtle)
Lineage: Eukaryota; Metazoa; Chordata; Testudines; Trionychidae
Source: RefSeq, a predicted model, not a curated record
GUCUAUCCUAUCCUAUCUGGAAUGAAGGGAUGGGGCAAGGAAAUAGACAAGGGGAGGAGACAAGAAACCAAGCCAUUUGGCCUCUGGGAUGAGAGUGGGCAAGGCUGGUUGGUGAAAAGCUGGACAGGAGACUGUGGUUGUUUCUCCUCCACAAGUCAAAGGCAGGAGGUCAAGCCUCAGGAGCAACCCGACAAUAACAAACAAGCCUG